UCGAGCGGACAGAUGGGAGCUUGCUCCCUGAUGUUAGCGGCGGACGGGUGAGUAACACGUGGGUAACCUGCCUGUAAGACUGGGAUAACUCCGGGAAACCGGGGCUAAUACCGGAUGGUUGUUUGAACCGCAUGGUUCAAACAUAAAAGGUGGCUUCGGCUACCACUUACAGAUGGACCCGCGGCGCAUUAGCUAGUUGGUGAGGUAACGGCUCACCAAGGCAACGAUGCGUAGCCGACCUGAGAGGGUGAUCGGCCACACUGGGACUGAGACACGGCCCAGACUCCUACGGGAGGCAGCAGUAGGGAAUCUUCCGCAAUGGACGAAAGUCUGACGGAGCAACGCCGCGUGAGUGAUGAAGGUUUUCGGAUCGUAAAGCUCUGUUGUUAGGGAAGAACAAGUACCGUUCGAAUAGGGCGGUACCUUGACGGUACCUAACCAGAAAGCCACGGCUAACUACGUGCCAGCAGCCGCGGUAAUACGUAGGUGGCAAGCGUUGUCCGGAAUUAUUGGGCGUAAAGGGCUCGCAGGCGGUUUCUUAAGUCUGAUGUGAAAGCCCCCGGCUCAACCGGGGAGGGUCAUUGGAAACUGGGGAACUUGAGUGCAGAAGAGGAGAGUGGAAUUCCACGUGUAGCGGUGAAAUGCGUAGAGAUGUGGAGGAACACCAGUGGCGAAGGCGACUCUCUGGUCUGUAACUGACGCUGAGGAGCGAAAGCGUGGGGAGCGAACAGGAUUAGAUACCCUGGUAGUCCACGCCGUAAACGAUGAGUGCUAAGUGU
This 779-nucleotide ribosomal RNA is filed under the name Bacillus sp. C2A. RNAcentral describes it as "bacterial SSU rRNA". It matches the Rfam family "Bacterial small subunit ribosomal RNA", at positions 62 to 823 of the family's 1533-position model. Lineage: Bacteria; Bacillati; Bacillota; Bacilli; Caryophanales; Bacillaceae. The record is from RNAcentral.